CUGUCUAAGAUUAGCCUGCAUGUGUAAGUAUAAAUAUUUCAACUUUGAAACGGCAAAGGGUUCUUUAUUUCGGUUAUAGUUAAUUGAAGAAAAUGUACUACUUGGAUAACCGUAGUAAUUCUAGGGUUAAUACUGGACAAUUCCCUCGACUUUGAAAAGGGGAGUUAAUUAAAAUGAAAACCAUAUGCUCUGGCAUGUAGGGAGAAAAAAUAACCUUUCUUAUCGAUGGUUGAAAUAACGAUAGUUCUUUAAGUUUCUGCCCUAUCAGCUUUCGAUGGUAGUGCAUUGGACUACCAUGGCAGUAACGGGUAACGAAAAAUUGGGGUUCAAUUUCGAAAAGGAAGCCUGAAAGACGGCUACCACUUCCAAGGAAAGGCAGCAGGGCGCGAAAAUUACCCCAAUCCCUGACAUAGGAAGGAAGGGACAAUAAAUCCCAAUGCGGAACUUUUUAGUUUUUGCAAUUGAUUUGAAAACAAUGUAAAAGAGUAUAUCGAUAACACAAUUGAGAGGGAAAGUCUGGCCCAGCAGCCGCGGAAUCCCCAGCUCCAUAUAGGUAUAUAUUAACGUGUGUGCGCAUAAAAAAAAGCCUCAA
Molecule: ribosomal RNA, 592 nt
Filed under: Blastocystis sp.
Lineage: Eukaryota; Bigyra; Opalinata; Blastocystidae
Description: SSU rRNA
Rfam family: Eukaryotic small subunit ribosomal RNA
Source: RNAcentral